RNAcentral lists this unclassified non-coding RNA (352 nucleotides) under soil metagenome. Its description in RNAcentral is "partial contains 5.8S ribosomal RNA, internal transcribed spacer 2, and large subunit ribosomal RNA". The stretch from base 1 to 120 matches the Rfam family "5.8S ribosomal RNA", at positions 35 to 154 of the family's 154-position model. The record is from RNAcentral.
GAUGAAGAACGCAGCGAAAUGCGAUAAGUAAUGUGAAUUGCAGAAUUCAGUGAAUCAUCGAAUCUUUGAACGCACAUUGCGCCCGCCAGUAUUCUGGCGGGCAUGCCUGUUCGAGCGUCAUUACAACCCUCAGGCCCCCGGGCCUGGCGUUGGGGAUCGGCGGAGCCCCCCGUGGGCACACGCCGUCCCCCAAAUGCAGUGGCGGUCCCGCCGCAGCUUCCAUCGCGUAGUAGCUAACACCUCGCGACUGGAGAGCGGCGCGGCCACGCCGUAAAACACCCAACUCUUCUGAAGUUGACCUCGAAUCAGGUAGGAAUACCCGCUGAACAUAAGCAUAUCAAUAAGCGGAGGA